UACAGAGGGUGCGAGCGUUAAUCGGAAUUACUGGGCGUAAAGCGUGCGUAGACGGUUAUUUAAGUCGGGUGUGAAAGCCCCGGGCUCAACCUGGGAAUUGCAUUCGAGACUGAAUAGCUAGGGUACGGUAGAGGGAAGCGGAAUUUCCGGUGUAGCGGUGAAAUGCGUAGAUAUCGGAAGGAACAUCAGUGGCGAAAGCGGCUUCCUGGACCAGUAUCGACGUUCAGGCACGAAAGCGUGGGGAGCAAACAGG
This 253-nucleotide ribosomal RNA is filed under the name uncultured bacterium. Its description in RNAcentral is "partial 16S ribosomal RNA". It matches the Rfam family "Bacterial small subunit ribosomal RNA", at positions 524 to 776 of the family's 1533-position model. The record is from RNAcentral.